Molecule: ribosomal RNA, 465 nt
Filed under: Vreelandella stevensii
Lineage: Bacteria; Pseudomonadati; Pseudomonadota; Gammaproteobacteria; Oceanospirillales; Halomonadaceae
Description: partial 16S ribosomal RNA
Rfam family: Bacterial small subunit ribosomal RNA
Source: RNAcentral
CCUACGGGUGGCAGCAGUGGGGAAUAUUGGACAAUGGGGGGAACCCUGAUCCAGCCAUGCCGCGUGUGUGAAGAAGGCCCUCGGGUUGUAAAGCACUUUCAGUGAGGAAGAACGCCUGGUGGUUAAUACCCAUCAGGAAAGACAUCACUCACAGAAGAAGCACCGGCUAACUCCGUGCCAGCAGCCGCGGUAAUACGGAGGGUGCGAGCGUUAAUCGGAAUUACUGGGCGUAAAGCGCGCGUAGGUGGCUUGAUAAGCCGGUUGUGAAAGCCCCGGGCUCAACCUGGGAACGGCAUCCGGAACUGGCAAGCUAGAGUGCAGGAGAGGAAGGUAGAAUUCCAGGUGUAGCGGUGAAAUGCGUAGAGAUCGGGAGGAAUACCAGUGGCGAAGGCGGCCUUCUGGACUGACACUGACACUGAGGUGCGAAAGCGUGGGUAGCAAACAGGAUUAGAUACCCCAGUAGUC